Molecule: long non-coding RNA, 693 nt
Filed under: Linum usitatissimum (flax)
Lineage: Eukaryota; Viridiplantae; Streptophyta; Magnoliopsida; Malpighiales; Linaceae
Description: long non-coding RNA (LUSI_LNC004089)
Source: RNAcentral
CCUCUAAACAGCCACCGCUCUUUGUUCUUCACGUCUACCUAAAGAGGAUCAAACUUCUCCUUACCCUGAACAGCCGCCGCUCUUUGUUCUUCACGUCUACCUAAAGAGGAUCGAAGGAGCCAUCGACACGAUGGAGUUUCUUUAAUCUUCACUGUCUACCUAAAGGGAAUCGUUGAUACCAUCGCACCACUCUUUCUUCACUCUUCGACUACGACGACGGCGUUCCGAUAGUAAUCAAAAGAUAAGUUCCAUCUCUACUAUCAAACCAUUCUCUCUUCAGAUCUCCGGUCAGACUAGAUGUUGGUAGUUCUAUUGUUUGUGCUUUCAAUGAGUAGAAACUACGUGUCUUUGACAAAAGAACCAUAUUCAAAACGUUUUGAAUAUAGAAUUAGACAUCGAUAAGAAUGGUUAAAAAACUUACUUUCUCAGCCAAUAUGUAUUGAGCAGUUACGUAUCAAACCAAAAAGUUUUGAAAAUUCAUGUGACAUCUUGCAAACUAAGGGUGGUCUAAUGGCUUCAAAACAUGUGACGAUUCCAAAAAUUAUUUCAUUGUUUAGCCAUAUUUUGUCACAUUGUAUCCAAAAUAGGACGAUGAAGGCUACCUUUAUUUGUUCGGGAGAAACAAUUAGUAGACAGUUCCAUAAGGUCUUGCGGGCAGUAUUGGUUAUAGGUAGUGAUUAUAUCAAAGAGCAC